Long non-coding RNA from Rosa rugosa (rugosa rose), 840 nucleotides. RefSeq lists it as uncharacterized. The record is from RefSeq and is a predicted model, not a curated record. Lineage: Eukaryota; Viridiplantae; Streptophyta; Magnoliopsida; Rosales; Rosaceae. The transcript has 5 exons.
UUGGGUAAUAAAGGCCUUAUCGAUCACCUGCGACCUUUUUCUUCACUCUCUCCUCGCUCAUUACUUCAUCAAUCGUCUCAAAGCUCCUCCUCAUUUUUUUGAUGACACAAAGCUCCUUCUUAUUGAUCCCCGGAAUCAAAUCCCUUCUCAGCUUUCACCGCGUGCAGGGAUAGGUUCGUCGGAGUCUCGGCAAAGAACACCUCCUUUAGAGACCCAUAAUUGAUCGACGGAGAAGAGGACGACUUUGUGUCUGGGUUUGUUUUGGCUUCCUGCAAGUGCAAUGGCAUUGUUUAUAUCUACGAACUUGAGUGGUUCUUUGCAAUUAAACAUUGUGAUCGUCUUAUGUUUAUCUGGUUGGAGAACCAAACUGGGAGCAAUGUAGAAGACUGACAAGGGCUGCUGCUAUGAAUACAAGCACACCCGACACAGCAAGAGAAGGGACGUCUAGAGACAACUUGGACUGUACUCAGGAAGUUUGGCUAUAACAACGAUAUACGACUUUCAGAAGAACUAAUUCCAUCUCUCCCAAAACGGACUCCUGACCAGACGCUCAGAGCUAAAUCCUCCAGCUAUUAUAUGUGUGUGCGUGCAUUGCCUAAACAAUGAUUCUUAAGAUAAACAUGGUAGAAGUGUACAAAUAAGCAUCACUUUAAACUGGACCUUGAGGGCACAAGACUGAGCCUGAUCUUGAAUAAUAGAUUGGCUCCCAACUUCAUUCAGGUGUUUGAACUUAUGCCCUUAUGUGAUGUGCCAUUAUCAUGCCAGCUUAAGUGCAUCAUUUUUGUGAAGUUCUUUUAUUCUAAUAGGUAUUUUUAAAUAUAUCCCACCUUUUUUCUCUUU